Non-coding RNA from Pelobates cultripes (western spadefoot toad), 219 nucleotides. The record is from the annotation of a GenBank genome assembly. Lineage: Eukaryota; Metazoa; Chordata; Amphibia; Anura; Pelobatidae.
GGACUGAGGGGAGAACAAGGAAUUAACAAAUGUGGUGUGCAGUGCCGCCAUUGGCUGUCUGGUGAUAGCAUGCCGUACAUGCUGUUAUUAGAAGCCAUGUAAGUUAUGCAACAAAACUUACUAUAGGAAUAUAGAAGUAUGUGUAUACAUGUAUUCUUAUUCUAGUAAUAACCUCGAAAACUGAGUGUAAAUUCAGAGUCCACACUGCUUGCUUUCGGC